Long non-coding RNA from Callithrix jacchus (white-tufted-ear marmoset), 1012 nucleotides. RefSeq lists it as uncharacterized. Lineage: Eukaryota; Metazoa; Chordata; Mammalia; Primates; Cebidae. The record is from RefSeq and is a predicted model, not a curated record.
CGCCUCGCCGCCCCUCCCCGCGCCUCCGCAGCACGUGACCCGCAGCGUUGCACCGGGUCCCAAGCCGGAGUGUUGCCCUUGGGGACGUCCCAGUGAGGGCAGGGUCCCAGGGAGACGGUGUGCUGCCUGGAAGCAAUUAUUUAAGCAAACAAGUUGUGUCACCGCCCGGGGCCAGAGCUGUGGUCUCAUUAUGUUGCCCAGGCUGGUCUUGAACUCCUGGCCUCAAGCAAUCCUGCCUCAGCUUUCCAAAGGACUGGGAUUACAGGCAUGAGUCACUGCCCUGGCCUCAUCCUAUUAUUUCUUCAUAUGGACCUCUGAAUCCUCCCUGAUGGAUGUUUUCUCACUCUCCCCUUUGAUAUCACCCUCCCCACCACCACUGUAAAAUUUAGCUGUGUCCCUUUGAGGACUUUUCGUCCUGGGCUGCUGGCUCUUUGCCAUAUUAAGUCCUCUGAGGUCUGAGGUGCUCUUGGUUAUUGUCACAAAGCCUGUAAGUUUUAGUACAAUACUGGGCAUAUGGAUGGUACCCAAAAGACAUUGGCUGGACUGGAGAGCAAAGAGCUAUCCAGGCACAGCUGAAAAUGGCGGCAAAUAAAGAUGCUCUACACCAGCCAGUCUACCCUGGAGGAGUUAGAAGAGCCACUGGACCCUGGUCUUGCCUCCAGUAUAAGCUUUUGAGAUUAUUUCCAAGGGAAAAUGUACACAUUGUACUUAGUGUUACUUUAUUAAAAGUAAGCUUUAUUGUUGUGGUUGUUGUUUUGAGACAGAAUCUUGCUCUAUUGCCUAGGCUGGAGUGCCGUGGUGUGAUCUCAGCUCACUACAACCUCCACCUCCUGGGUUCAAGCAGCUCUACUGCCUCAGCCUCCCGAGUGGCUGGGACUACAGAGUCUAAAAUAAAAAUAGCACAAGACUUGGCCUCCCUUGAACACAUGUCAUCAGUGGAAAGGAAGAUCACAUUGUCUCUGGAUUUCUGGAAAGUCAGGAUUCAUUAAAGGAGGCAAUGCUUGCUUGCCCC